GAUUUAUUUAUAUUUGACCAAAGAACAUCUUGAAAAUGUGUAUUUAGGUCUUUCUAAAAACCACAAUACUGUGUCAUAUAUGAAGAUGCCGAACAUUGCACCUGUCGCGCCAGGGAGUCUAACUGUUAUUUUGUCAACUCUGUUAUCAGGUGGAAACACAAUUUCACUGACGUAGGCUAUUUACUAGUCUGUAUAUACAUUAUGUAGCCAUGCAUUUAUAAACUAAUUGAAUAGUAAUAAUAAUGGAUUUAUUUCCGAUUUUCUGUCAAAUCCAUUGCUGGUCGUUCAAUUUGAACGGUUGGAUAAUUAAUUCAGUAUAUGGCAGUGUUUCUAUUGUGCGAUGAAUAAGGUCUUGUCAGUAUUGUAUGCAAUUCAUGUCACUAAUUAGUUAUUACACUAACAUUUAGUUUAUUUAUUGGCAUGCAGUACCAGGAUUUUCUGCAUUUAGUUUUCUAAUGUGACAGAAUGUCAUUGUUCAUGUUUUUUUUUUUUUUACAAAUGAUUUCCUACAGAAAAUGCAAAAAUGCCUACUCUGGUAGUUGUUCUUGAGGUCUAUUAUUAUUUGUUGUAUUCUCAGGAUUCUCUUUAAGCAAUUUGACAAUAUUUUCGGAUUUCUCAUGGAGUCACCACCUGGUGCCUAGGGUAUUUUAAUGGCCAACUCAGAAUGGUAUCUGACUAGAUUGGUCCCCAAGUCUUUAUGGAGAGGGAGAGUGAGACUUGUAUGUGAAGAUGUGUGAGUCCAACACUAAGGGUUCAGGGAUGGAAUGAGGACUGUGGAUGUGUGUUAGUGAAUGUGUUAGUGUUAGUGUUAGUGUUAGUGUUAGUGUUAGUGUUAGUGUUAGCGUGUGUGUGUGUGUGUGUGUGUGUGUGUGUGUGUGUGUGUGUGUGUGUGUGUGUGUGUGUGUGUGUGUGUGUGUGUGUGUGUGUGUGUGUGUGUGUGUGUGUGUGUGUGUGUCAAUGGAGGCUUGGGCGGUAGGCUUGGGCGGUAUACGGUAUAUACCGUAUACUGGCAAAUUUGGAAAAAGCCACAGGAUGGUUUUUCAAUACCGUCAAUACUGCUGUUGCAAAAUGUAACGAAAUGGGGAGGGACCUACCUGACUUUUUCCAAUAGAAACCCUUGUUUGGACUAGCGAUUACACCUCAGAUCAGCUACAUGCAGGCAAGAGUGUGCAAGGUAGUAUCGAAUGUGUCACUAGCUAGGUUUCUAUCUAAUUGGCGACAGAUUUUAAUGAAAAUCUUUUAAAUAUGCAUAAAGAAAAUAUGCCAUUUUUCCCACCAGUGGUGUGUUUCAACCAAAUGGACUUGUUGCAGAUUAAAAUCAUUGCGUGACGACCUAGUGCUCACGAAAGGUACUUUUUCGCUUAAGUUUUCAUGUAUCGAAUUAAAAACUAAAGUUCAAUGUGUUUCCAUUGCAUUUUCAACUCCACCUUUCGUUUUGUCACAAAAACUGUUAUAUAGAAAAUGUGCCUACUCUGGUCUUGGCACGUGCGCUCUAGCUAACAGCUAGCAGAUACAGUGCAGAUAGGCUGUGCUGGUAGGCUAGUCUACACGAUGAGAUUAUUAUGGAUAAGAGUGAGUAUAUUUAUUGGAAAGGAGCAUCAAGCUCAUCACCUUGCACAUUCACCAUCCUGUGAAGUUCAUCAUAAUUUAUUUAAUCUGUAGUCUAAUAAACUGCAAGCUUUCCCAAAUCGUAGUGGGAGGACCACGCAACAUGUGAUCACAUGACUCCCGAGUCGUAGUGGGAGGACCACGCAACAUGUGAUCACAUGACUCCCGAGUCGUAGUGGGAGGACCACGCAACAUGUGAUCACAUGACUCCCGAGUCGUAGUGGGAGGACCACGCAACAUGUGAUCACAUGACUCCCGAGUCGUAGUGGGAGGACCACGCAACAUGUGAUCACAUGACUCCCGAGUCGUAGUGGGAGGACCACGCAACAUGUGAUCACAUCACUCCCAAGUUUACUUCGAUAUGAUGGUUAUUAUAUCAAUAUUUGCACAUAAAGUUGUUUCCACCUCCAUUUCACACAUCAUUAAUUUUACAGACACAAAACGUCCCCACCAUGUCGAGCAAACAAAUGAUCUGUCUACAUUUAUAAAAUUGUAACAAAACUUCCAGUUUCCAUCACAGCUGUUUUGAUUUUUCUUUAUAGUGUAUAUGACCUUACUCACAUAAAAUGUGUGGAUGGAAAUGGGGUUACUGUCUGUAACUUUCAUUUGUCUCUCGACCUGUACACCUACGUUCUAAAAGUAUUUUUGUAGGCUAGGUUGUAUCAACUGUUGGACUGAUGAUUACACCCUAGAUCAGCUAGAUGCAGGCAAGCGUAGCCUAGUGGUUAGAGCGUUGGACUAGUAACCGGAAGGUUGCGAGUUCAAACCCCCGAGCUGACAAGGUACAAAUCUGUCGUUCUGCCCCUGAACAGGCAGUUAACCCACUGUUCCCAAGCCGUCAUUGAAAAUAAGAAUAUGUUCUUAACUGACUUGCCUGGUUAAAUAAAGGUAAAAUUUUAAAAAAAUUAAAGAGUGUGCAAGGUGGUAUUGAAUGUGUCACUGUCUGUGUGUGCACCCACAUUGUAAACUUUAAUUCAGAGGCUAAGUUGUAGCAACCUCAUGAGGGAUACAGAGCAAAUUCAAGUAUCAUGUUGUAGCCUGAACCUAUCUUUGUUUUAGUGAGCUGGGUGAAUGGAAUACAUUCUAUGACAGUUAUCCUAUAUGCUGUACUAGAAAUAAGGCCAUGCACAUAAAAAACAUGGUCCUCUCUAUUCGUGAGUGGCACUGACUGCCACUGGUGCGUGUGUAUGCGCGUACGCGUGUGUGUGUGUGUGUGUGUGUGUGUGUGUGUGUGUGUGUGUGUGUGUGUGUGUGUGUGUGUGUGUGUGUGUGUGUGUGUGUGUGUGUGUGUGUGUGUGUGUGUGUGUCUGACUGAGUGAGAGUGCUGUGCUGGUAUCCUGACAGGUUAUCUUUUAUAAUAUAUAGACUACAGGAGUAACACUUCAGGUAGAGAUGACGGAGAGUCAUGGUUAACACUUUACAUUGGCAUAUCACGUUAAACUAUAGUACCUUUACGAUUCCAUAAACUGUGUUUAUUAUUACAGGAUAAUUACAUAGGUUUUUCUACUGGUAGCUACUGUCGUAUAACACGGAACCCAAACCGGCUGUGUGCGUGCGCCAUUGUGCGCUAUUGUGCAUACAUUUAUUUAGUCCCCCUACACCAAACGCGAUCAUGACAUGCAGGUUAAAAUAUCAAAAUAUCAUAACCAAUUACAUUAAUUUGGGGACAGGUUGACAGGUUGAAAACCAUUAAACAUGUAUGGCAAUUUAACUAGUUAUCUUGCACUUUCUAGCUAAUGUGUCCUAUUUAGCUAGCUUGCUGUUGCUACCUAAUUUGUCCUGGGAUAUAAACAUUGAGUUGUUAUUUUACCUGAAAUGCACAACGUCCUCUACUCCGACCAUUAAUUCACACAUAAAACGGCCAACCGAAUCGUUUCUAGUCCUCUUUCCUCCUUCUAUGCUUUUUCAUCUUUGAAUUUAUAUGGUGAUUGGCAUCUAUACUUUCAUAGUAUUACCACAACAACCGGCAAAACAUUUUGUCUUUCAAUCACCCACGUGGGUAUAACCAAUGAGGAGAUGGCAUGUGGGUACCUGCUUCUAUAAACCAAUGAGGAGAUCGGAGAGGCAGGACUUUCAGCGCGAUCUGCGUCAGAAAUAGAAAGGAGUUCUAUUUUAUCCCUUGGCAACUCAGACACUCGUUGGCGCGAGCAGUGUGGUCGCAAUAAUUGAAUAACAUGGAUUUCUACAUUUAUUUUGCGACGCUCGCGCACGCGACGUGUCCGUUCUGAUCAGCAUGUCAGACUGAUAUCGCAGUGAUGUCAUGUUAUACUUUGUAAGUGAUAGUGCGGUAGUUAGGACACAGGAUUUGAAAAGCAUUCUUCUUAUAAAAAGUUGCUUGGGUGACAAGCUGUGGUUUGGUGUUUCUUCCCAGCCUCUUCCCAGCCUCCUCCCAGCCUAACAGGUUAAAGGUGAUGAGGAAGGGAUGUGGUAAGGCGAAGCCUUAAUGAUACCUUGCCAACUUCUAUGAAGAGUACAUACAGUGGUCAGUAAUGGGAACAGUCCAUGGUACAUUUGCAAAACAGACUUUUAACCCUGCUACUAUAACACAGGAAGAAGAGGGGAACUGCAAAAUAUUUAAUGGGAAGUUGACACAAUCGGUCAGUCAGUAUAUGCGUUCUGCUAAUUAUUUGAAGGGGUAGAAGAAAAAGGAGAAAUGGAAGUGCUGAGAGGAGUGAAAGAGCUCUGGGAGGAAUGUAAUGUUGGGCAACGGAUUCUUUCCAAAGUGGAUCGUGCCAAUAGUGAUUGGCCGUAUGAUAAUGGAUUUAUAGAGAUUAACGAAGCUUUAUUUUAAACAACAACAUUUUGGAUAUAGGGUUGUUUGUUGAACAGAAUUCUUCACUGAUAUUGUCAGAUACUACUGCACUAUUGGAGCUAGGAACACAAGCAUUUUGAUACACCCACAAUAACAUCUGCUAAAAAUAUGUGACCAAUAACAUUUGAUUUGAUUGGAUAUUACUUCACAUAAACUCCAUGUUUCUCUCUCACAUUAGCCUCAGAUCGUUUACAGUCAUUAAGGAACAAUGUUUGAAAUGAGGAAAAGCUGUGAGAAAUAGAAUCCUACUAUUGCAGCCAUUUGAAAGAGCACACUAUGCUGGCCCCUGGGGAAUUAUGGAAGGCUUUGACAUUAGGAUCCUUAUGUGGUUGAGAGUGGGACCCCAUCGAUAGCUCUCUGGUCCUGCUAACCAUGGUUGUGUGUGUGUGGGAGUGUGUGUGUCUGUGGGUGUGUGAUAUAACAACGUCUGACAGUGCCACCAAAGGGCUGAAUUAUCAAAUCAAAUCCAAUGUUAUUAGUCACAUGAGGGGGAAUAGGUUAAUGUCGUGCCCGCUUCAUGACUGUCAUGGUGUGCUUGGACCACGUUAGUGUUUUGGUGAUGUGGACACCAAGGAACUUGAAGCUCUCAACCUGCUCCACUACAGCCCUGUUGAUGAGAAUGGGGGCGUGCUCGGUCAUCCUUUUCCUGUAGUCCUCAAUCAUCUACUUUGUCUUGAUCACGUUGAGGGAGAGGAUGUUGUCCUGGCACCACACGCAAAAUCGGCAAAUUUAAUGAUGGUGAGUCGUGGAGUUUUGCCUGGCCGUGCAGUCAUGAGUGAACAGGGAGUACUGGAGGGGGCUGCGCACUCACCCCUGAGGGGCCCCUGUGUUGAGAAUCAGCGUGGCGGAUGUGUUGUUACCUACCCUUACCACCUGGGGGCGGCCCGUCAGGAAGUCCAGGAUCCAGUUACAGUGGGAGGUAUUUAGUCCCAGGGUCCUUAGCUUAUUGAUGAGCUUUGAGGGCACUAUGGUGUCGAAUGCUGAGCUGUAGUCAAUGAAUAGCAUUCUCACAUAGGUGUUCCUUUUGUCCAGGUGAGAAAGGGCAGUGUGGAGUGCAGUAGAGACUGCAUUAUAUGUGGAUCUGUUGGGGUGGUAUGCGAAUUGCAGUGGGUCUAGGGUUUCUGGGAUGAUGGUGUUGAUGUGAGCCAUGACCAGCCUUUCAAAGCACUUCAUGGCUACAGACGUGAGUGCUACGGGUUGGUAGUCAUUUAGGCACGAUACCUUCUGUUCUUGGGCACAAGCACUAUGGUGGUCUGCUUACAACAUGUUGGUAUUACAGACUCGGACAGGAAGAAGUUGAAAAUGUCAGUGAAGACACUUGCCAGUUGGUCAGCACAUGCUCGCAGUACACGUCCUGGUAAUCUGUCUGGCCCUGCGGCCUUGAGAAUGUUGACCUGUUUAAAGGUCUUACUCACAUCGGCUGCAGAGAGCGUGAUCACACAGUCUUCCGGAAUAGCUGGUGCUCUCAUGCAUGUUCCAGUGUUAUUUGCCUCAAAGCGAGGAUAGAAGUAGUUUAGCUCGUCCGGUAGGCUCAUGUCACUGGGCAGGUCUUGGCUGUGCUUCCCUUUGUAGUCUGUAAUGGUUUGCAAGCCCUGCCACAUCCGACGAGCGUCAGAGCCGCUAUAGUACGACUUGAUCUUAGUCCUGUAUUGUCACUUUGCCUCUCACUCUUUCCCUCACUUUCUCUCUCUUUUGCUCCCUUUGUAUAUUCUGUUUUCCUCCAUACUGACUACAUUGCUCACUCUCUUCCCCACUUUCUCAUCCUUCCCCUCCCCCUUUUUCCUACCGUUUCCAUCUCUAUGUCCUCCUCUCGCCUACUGUGUGUUGUCCUGUCUGUUCCUAUCCCCGAGCAUCCUGCAGGGAGGGGGACCAGGAAUCUGUUUGUUGACAGGAAGUUUGCGGAGGACUGCAAUUCUCGUUAAAGCAUCCCCACAGGUAGUGACAGGUACAUGUCAGGAUAGUUGCCCUCGUUCCCUUCUGGGAGCCCAAUGAAAGGACAUGUAAAACGCUGAGGGAGUGAUGAAACUGAUAGGUUGACAUUGGAUCUGAAGUGCAUCCAGUUUCCCCAUUCGCCCCUAGGGUUCCAUCUCUGUGCCCCCCUCUCUCCUACCGUUUCCAUAUCUGUGCCCUCCUCUCUCGUACCGUUUCCAUCUCUGUGCCUUCCUCUCUUCUACCGUUUCCAUCUCUGUGCCCUCGUCUCUCCUUCCGUUUCCAUGUCUGUGCCCUCCUCUCUCCUACCGUUUCCAUUUCUGUGGCAUCUGCUACAGUUUCCAUCUCUGUGCCCCCCUCUCUCCUACAGUUUCCAUCUCUGUGCCCCCCUCUCUCCUACAGUUUCCAUCUCUGUGCCCCCCUCUCUCCUACAGUUUCCAUCUCUGUGCCUCCCUCUCUCCUACAGUUUCCAUCUUGGGUUUUAAGUUUGUGAGACUUGCUGGCAUGAUAUAUGAUAAUAGAUAAACGUGAGAGAGUGUGUUUUCAUAUUGAAAUGCUGAAAAUGUAUGUAGUAAAAGCAGAAGGGAAGUUAACAUUCAAACAGGUAAGUAAACUGGUUCACCUGUUCCAGUAUCAAUCAUCAAUCUUCAGAAGUCAUUCAUUUGUAUUGAUUGAAACUUCCAGCACCCAACCAAACAAGAAAACAGCCUAAUGAUAGGUGUUCACAUUUGCAUUUAUUUAAUAACAAUGAACUUUGCAUGUGAUUUGUAUACAUGUGAUUUGUAUACAUGUGAUUUGUAUACAGGAUUUCAUACAGGAUUUCCGAUGGCAGUAUCGUCAUGGCCUUUCAGAUCAAAUAGUCUUGUGUGUGGGUGGUGAGACAUUAGCUACAGUUAGGAAAGAGACUGUUUGCUGAGUCACGGCUUAACCCUCAGCAAGAAAACCCGGGAAAAGUACAUUGCUUGGCAUGAGUUUGUCAUGGAAUGGAUAGCCUCGUCUGUGCCUCUGUGUGUGUGUGUGUGUGUGUGUGUGUGUGUGUGUGUGUGUGUGUGUGUGUGUGUGUGUGUGUGUGUGUGUGUGUGUGUGUGUGUGUGUGUGUGUGUGUGUGUGUGUGUGUGUGUGUGUGUGUGUGUGUGUGUGUGUGUGAGAAAUGUCUUCUUUGCCCAUAAACUCUUUAAUGGUGGGAAAAUGGUGAAUGGAUAGCCUCGUCUGUUUGGGCGUCAGUCAGUCCACCAUGACAUCUUUCUGGCCAGAGGUUGUUACGUAUGUAGCAGUGUACAGGAUUCUGCCUCAUCUACUGUACAUUUACGGGUGGUUUCCUGGACGCAGAUGAAGCCCAAUCCUGGACUAAAAGCAAGGUCGCGCGCACACAGCUAAGGGUCAGAUGGGGACAGACGAAUGCACACGGCUAAGGGUCAGAUGGGGACAGACGAAUGCACACGGCUAAGGUUCAGAUGGGGACAGACGAAUGUACACGGCUAAGGGUCAGUUGGGGACAGACGAAUGCACACGGCUAAGGUUCAGUUGGGGACAGACGAAUGCACACGGCUAAGGUUCAGUUGGGGACAGACGAAUGCACACGGCUAAGGUUCAGUUGGGGACAGACGAAUGCACACGGCUAAGGGUCAGAUGGGGACAGACGAAUGCACACGGCUAAGGUUCAGUUGGGGACAGACGAAUGCACACGGCUAAGGGUCAGUUGGGGACAGACGAAUGCACACGGCUAAGGUUCAGUUGGGGACAGACGAAUGCACACGGCUAAGGGUCAGAUGGGGACAGACGAAUGCACACGGCUAAGGUUCAGUUGGGGACAGACGAAUGCACACGGCUAAGGGUCAGUUGGGGACAGACGAAUGCACACGGCUAAGGUUCAGUUGGGGACAGACGAAUGCACACGGCUAAGGUUCAGUUGGGGACAGACGAAUGCACACGGCUAAGGGUCAGAUGGGGACAGACGAAUGCACAUGGCUAAGGUUCAGUUGGGGACAUACGAAUGCACACGGCUAAAGGACAGAUGGGGACAGACGAAUGCACACGGCUAAGGUUCAGUUGGGGACAGACGAAUGCACACGGCUAAGGGUCAGUUGGGGACAGACGAAUGCACACGGCUAAGGUUCAGUUGGGGACAGACGAAUGCACACGGCUAAGGGUCAGUUGGGGACAGACGAAUGCACACGGCUAAGGGUCAGUUGGGGACAGACGAAUGCACACGGCUAAAGGACAGAUGGGGACAGACGAAUGCACACGGCUAAGGUUCAGUUGGGGACAGACGAAUGCACACGGCUAAGGGUCAGUUGGGGACAGACGAAUGCACACGGCUAAGGUUCAGUUGGGGACAGACGAAUGCACACGGCUAAGGUUCAGUUGGGGACAGACGAAUGCACACAGCUAAAGGUCAGAUGGGGACAGACGAAUGCACACGGCUAAGGUUCAGUUGGGGACAGACGAAUGCACACGGCUAAGGGACAGAUGGGGACAGACGAAUGCACACGGCUAAGGGUCAGAUGGGGACAGACGAAUGCACGCGGCUAAGGUUCAGUUGGGGACAGACGAAUGCACACGGCUAAGGGUCAGUUGGGGACAGACGAAUGCACACGGCUAAGGUUCAGUUGGGGACAGACGAAUGCACAUGGCUAAGGGUCAGUUGGUGACAGACGAAUGCACACGGCUAAGGUUCAGUUGGGGACAGACGAAUGCACACGGCUAAGGGACAGAUGGGGACAGACGAAUGCACACGGCUAAGGGUCAGAUGGGGACAGACGAAUGCACGCGGCUAAGGUUCAGUUGGGGACAGACGAAUGCACACGGCUAAGGGUCAGUUGGGGACAGACGAAUGCACACGGCUAAGGUUCAGUUGGGGACAGACGAAUGCACACGGCUAAGGGUCAGUUGGGGACAGACGAAUGCAUACGGCUAAGGGUCAGUUGGGGACAGACGAAUGCACACAGCUAAGGUUCAGUUGAGGACAGACGAAUGCACACGGCUAAGGUUCAGUUGGGGACAGACGAAUGCACACGGCUAAGGUUCAGUUGGGGACAGACGAAUGCACACGGCUAAGGGUCAGAUGGGGACAGACGAAUGCACGCGGCUAAGGUUCAGUUGGGGACAGACGAAUGCACACGGCUAAGGGUCAGUUGGGGACAGACGAAUGCACACGGCUAAGGUUCAGUUGGGGACAGAUGAAUGCACACGGCUAAGGGUCAGUUGGGGACAGACGAA
Long non-coding RNA from Oncorhynchus keta (chum salmon), 9568 nucleotides. RefSeq lists it as uncharacterized. The transcript is spliced from 3 exons. The record is from RefSeq and is a predicted model, not a curated record. NCBI's taxonomy places the organism in Eukaryota, Metazoa, Chordata, Actinopteri, Salmoniformes, Salmonidae.